RNAcentral lists this ribosomal RNA (217 nucleotides) under uncultured bacterium. RNAcentral's name for it is "partial 16S ribosomal RNA". It matches the Rfam family "Bacterial small subunit ribosomal RNA", at positions 1286 to 1500 of the family's 1533-position model. The record is from RNAcentral.
UCUCAGUUCGGACUGUAGGCUGCAACUCGCCUACACGAAGCUGGAAUCGCUAGUAAUCGCGGAUCAGCACGCCGCGGUGAAUACGUUCCCGGGCCUUGUACACACCGCCCGUCACACCAUGAGAGUCUGUAACACCCAAAGCCGGUGGGAUAACCUUUAUAGGAGUCAGCCGUCUAAGGUAGGACAGAUGAUUAGGGUGAAGUCGUAACAAGGUAUC